ACACACACAAAACAACUCAGUCCACAUGCAGAAGCACUGAUAAGAUGAGUGUUCUGUAACCACAGUUUGCAGGACUCAUACGACACUGGAGGGAGGGGAAAAUGAUUGACAGGAGUGAUCCAAAGGUAUCAUAACUUAAAAAAAAGUCCAGACUGCAACUAUGCACAGAACUGAUAUUCAUUCAUUUCUUUUAUUCCAUCCACACAUUAAACCAGCUGAUUGAAAUCAACUCAACUCUUCAGGCAGGUAGACAAGCUAAUCAGUGAAAUCUCUUGUUUCAGGUGCACAGGUAGAAGAAACAUAUUGUUGGACUUUUACUGACUGAAGCUGGGGUUUUCCACUUCUGAUUACAGGUAUACUGCCUCAAUAACAGCAGAACUAUCAACUUAACAAACGUCACAAAGAUACAGAUACCUGCUAAUUAAUAACAGCACUAACAUACAAGUUAAAUACAAAUGAAGUUUCACUCAACAGAAAUACUGAAUUACAAACUUCAUUGAUGAU
Molecule: long non-coding RNA, 504 nt
Organism: Thalassophryne amazonica
Lineage: Eukaryota; Metazoa; Chordata; Actinopteri; Batrachoidiformes; Batrachoididae
Exons: 3
Source: RefSeq, a predicted model, not a curated record